This 253-nucleotide ribosomal RNA is filed under the name uncultured bacterium. RNAcentral describes it as "partial 16S ribosomal RNA". It matches the Rfam family "Bacterial small subunit ribosomal RNA", at positions 524 to 776 of the family's 1533-position model. The record is from RNAcentral.
UACGAAGGGUGCAAGCGUUACUCGGAAUUACUGGGCGUAAAGCGUGCGUAGGCGGUUUGUCGCGUCUGCUGUGAAAACUGGAGGCUCAACCUCCAGCCUGCAGUGGGUACGGGCAAACUAGAGUGCGGUAGGGGAGAUUGGAAUUCCUGGUGUAGCGGUGGAAUGCGUAGAUAUCAGGAGGAAUACCGAUGGCGAAGGCAGGUCUCUGGGCUGACACUGACGCUCAUGCACGAAAGCGUGGGGAGCAAACAGG